CAGCCGCCGCGGUAAUACGUAGGGGGCGAGCGUUGUCCGGAAUUACUGGGCGUAAAGGGCGUGUAGGCGGCCUGUUAAGUCAGGGGUGAAAGACCGGGGCUCAACCCCGGGGGUGCCUCUGAAACUGGCGGGCUUGAGUGCUCUAGAGGGCAGUGGAAUUCCCGGUGUAGCAGUGAAAUGCGUAGAGAUCGGGAGGAACACCAGUGGCGAAGGCGGCUGCCUGGGGAGUCACUGACGCUGAGGCGCGAAAGCUAGGGGAGCAAACAGGAUUAGAUACCCUGGUAGUCCUAGCCGUAAACGAUGAGCGCUAUGUGUGAGGGGUAUCGACCCCCCUCGUGCAGGAGCUAACGCAUUAAGCGCUCCGCCUGGGGAGUACGGCCGCAAGGUUGAAACUUAAAGGAAUUGGCGGG
RNAcentral lists this ribosomal RNA (410 nucleotides) under uncultured microorganism. RNAcentral's name for it is "bacterial SSU rRNA". It matches the Rfam family "Bacterial small subunit ribosomal RNA", at positions 509 to 917 of the family's 1533-position model. The record is from RNAcentral.